This 512-nucleotide ribosomal RNA is filed under the name Tabuina varirata. RNAcentral describes it as "partial 16S ribosomal RNA". The stretch from base 129 to 415 matches the Rfam family "Bacterial large subunit ribosomal RNA", at positions 2078 to 2643 of the family's 2925-position model. The record is from RNAcentral. Lineage: Eukaryota; Metazoa; Arthropoda; Arachnida; Araneae; Salticidae.
GUGCUAAGGUAGCAUAAUCAUUUGUCUUUUAAAUAAAGACUAGAACAAAAGAUUUAACAUUUUAAUAAAUUUUAUAAAAUUAUAAAUUCAAAUUAUUUUUAAUGUUAAAAAACAUUAAUAUAAUAUAAAGACGACAAGACCCUAUUGAACUUAACUUAAGUUAAACUGGGGCAGUAAAUUAAUUAUUAUUUUAAUUUCGAAAUUAAAAAAAAAAUCCAAUAUAAUUGAUAAACAAGUUACCAUAGGGAUAACAGCGUAAUCUUUAUCAAAAGUUCAUAUAAAAAUAUAAAUUUACGACCUCGAUGUUGAAUUAAUUAUCUAAUUAAUGCAAAAAUUAAAUAAGAAAGUCUGUUCGACUUUUAAACAAUUACAUGAUUUGAGUUCAGACCGGUGUAAGCCAGGUCGGUUUCUAUCUUUUUAUAAAUUUUUACAGUACGAAAGGACCUAAUAAUUUAAUAUUAUUAUAUAAUUGGCAGAUUAAUGCAUUAGAAUUAGAAUCUAACUAAUCAUAA